UUGAUGGAGGAGGAGGACGCAGCCCGUCCCCUGGGUAGUUGAUGGAGGAGGGCGCAGUACGGUUGCUGAUCCCGUUAACUGUUUCAGGGGGUGUUUUAACGUCACGGAAUGAGAUCAAAUGUCCACCUCGCAGGUUGUGUAGAGAUGCAAGCAGGAGACUCUUGAGUGAGUGUUCUGGGGCCUGCGGAUAUACUGGGUGAGGGGAGUGCUGGUGCUGAGUUGGGCCAAGAGCCCGUGGGCGUGGGCUGUGCACCGGGUGAGGGGCUGAGGCGUGUCCGCAGCAGUACCUGGUGGUCGACCCCUUCUCCUGGCUGUGUGGUUGCCUGCCCUGCCUCUGCCUCUCAGAAUGUGAGUCUUCCGGGCUCCAGGGACAGGGUUGCCUGUGGACGGCACCUGUGCCUCUCCACGUCUGAGCUCUCAGGCGUCUGGGGUGCGCGGCUGCCCUUUUCCCCAGGUCCGUGCCAGGUGUGGUGGGGUCAGUGGUGUGGCUCAUGGGAAUCGGGAGUGGAUCCUCGCUGGGCUCUCAGGCGCCUCGGGCACGUAGCUGCCCUUGUCCCCAGGCCCCUGCUCGGUGUGGUGGGGGCUCAGUGGCGCAGAGCAGCCACCCAGAGUGGGGUCCGUGGCAGCAUGGUGUGGCCUCCUGGGUGGAGGUGGCCCCUGCAGUGGAGUACGUGUGUGGUCCCCCGCAGGGAUUGCAGUGUGUCCUCUCCCAGCUGGGAUCAGGUGGCCUCAGCACCGUCGGCCCUAGAGAGGCCCCGUGUAUUGUCCGGGUGAAGAAGGCGUUCGAUGCUCCCAGGUUCUAACUGAGCGCUGUCUGUCGACUCUUCAGGUUCAGACGCGGAAAGAAGAGCCUCUGCCCCCGGCUACGAGCCAAAGCAUUCCGACCUUCUACUUCCCCAGAGGACGCCCGCAGGACUCCGUCAACGUGGAUGCCGUCAUCAGCAAGAUCGAGAGCACCUUCGCCCGGUUCCCCCACGAGAGGGCCACCAUGGACGACAUGGGCCUGGUGGCCAAGACGGUGUUUUAACAUCACGGGAUGAGAUCAAAUGUCCACCUCGCAGGUUGUGUAGAGAUGCAAGCAGGAGACUCUUGAGUUCAGACGCGGAAAGAAGAGCCUCUGCCCCCGGCCACGAGCCAAAGCAUUCCGACCUUCUACUUCCCCAGAGGACACCCGCAGGACUCCAUCAACGUGGAUGCCGUCAUCAGCAAGAUCGAGAGCACCUUCGCCCGGUUCCCCCACGAGAGGGCCACCAUGGACGACAUGGGCCUGGUGCACAAGGCCUGCGGCUGCCCCCUCUACUGGAAGGGGCCGCUCUUCUAUGGCGCCGGCGGGGAGCGCACGGGCUCCGUGUCCGUCCACAAGUUCGUCGCCAUGUGGAGAAAAAUCCUCCAGAACUGCCACGACGACGCGGCCAAGUUCGUCCAUCUGCUCAUGAG
Molecule: long non-coding RNA, 1437 nt
Filed under: Pan paniscus (pygmy chimpanzee)
Lineage: Eukaryota; Metazoa; Chordata; Mammalia; Primates; Hominidae
Description: lncRNA (ENSPPAG00000045110.1)
Source: RNAcentral